AGCUGCUCAUUCACCUGUUUAUGAUUGCCCCGCUUAGCGGUGAGCUCAUAAAGCCCGAAUGACGCACCAAACGGAGCCUGCCGUCCACCUGACCGAUAAUCGCUUGCGUUAUCAAACACCGGACGUAACGUUGAGUAAGGCUCCACCCA
Molecule: small RNA, 149 nt
Filed under: Candidatus Pantoea varia
Lineage: Bacteria; Pseudomonadati; Pseudomonadota; Gammaproteobacteria; Enterobacterales; Erwiniaceae
Description: Pantoea sp. OV426 Glm Y RNA activator of glmS mRNA
Rfam family: Glm Y RNA activator of glmS mRNA
About the family: This family consists of a number of bacterial RNA genes of around 167 bases in length. The function of this RNA is unknown.
Source: RNAcentral